Molecule: non-coding RNA, 23 nt
Filed under: Arabidopsis thaliana (thale cress)
Lineage: Eukaryota; Viridiplantae; Streptophyta; Magnoliopsida; Brassicales; Brassicaceae
Source: RNAcentral
UGGUACAUACGGCGAGUUAGCCA